CCCAUUGGGACUUCCCCAGCAGCAGUUUUACAAGGGUGUCCUUGGUACCUCUGUCUCGGUAGAUCUCUGACUUACUGUCUCAAUUGAGAAUGCUCAACUUGCCUUAAGGUAAAACAUUCUUAGUUAUGGCUUUGAAGGUUGGAAUUCUGCAAUAAAUAGGUCCUGAGCUGCCUUCUGCAGCCCCUGAAGAAAUCCUUUUCCAUGGAUCUGAAUUUUUUUCAAGAGAUUGAUCUUAUCUGGGUGGAGAAGAGCUCGGGAAAGAGAGACACAUAUAUCAGUGAUAUGCCCAAUGACUUUUGAAGACAACCAUGGAUGCCUAGAAACUUGGGCUGCUAUGAACAUUAAGGGAAUUAAAGUGCUGGACUCCUGAGCCCUCUCCUUGAAAUGCUGAGGAAGAUUUGCUGACACACCUUCCCUGGAGGCCAUCAACACUCAUCCCUGUGACUUUCACUUCAAAGUAACUGGAGACUCUUCUUAUUAUUGAGGGCUUCAUUUAUCUGUGGUCUGUGUCUGACUACUCAUAGGAACUGAUGAUGGGAAACUGCCCUCUGUUUAUUUUAUAACCUAGUAGAGGAGAUAAGACAGCCCUUUUCUUCUUACAUAAAUAUUUAUACUUGUUUUUAUAUCAUAUUUAUUUGUAAAUAUAUCCUUAUUGUCUCUGCCAUCCAGUGAGCCUUCCCUUGUAACAUAGAUUUUAAAAAGAAAGAAAAAGCGGUUCAGCAAAACGAGCCAUCAGGGCAGCUCAGUGGCACAGUGAAUAAAGCGCCAGGCCUGGAGUCA
This 780-nucleotide long non-coding RNA is filed under the name Phascolarctos cinereus (koala). RNAcentral's name for it is "lncRNA (ENSPCIG00000035775.1)". The record is from RNAcentral. Lineage: Eukaryota; Metazoa; Chordata; Mammalia; Diprotodontia; Phascolarctidae.